GACGAACGCUGGCGGCGUGCUUAACACAUGCAAGUCGAACGCUGAAGCUCAGCUUUUGUUGGGUGGAUGAGUGGCGAACGGGUGAGUAACACGUGAGUAACCUGCCUCCUUCUUUGGGAUAACGCCCGGAAACGGGUGCUAAUACUGGAUAUUCACUGGUCUUCGCAUGGGGGUUGGUGGAAAGGGUUUUUCUGGUGGGGGAUGGGCUCGCGGCCUAUCAGCUUGUUGGUGGGGUGAUGGCCUACCAAGGCUUUGACGGGUAGCCGGCCUGAGAGGGUGACCGGUCAGAUUGGCACUGAGAUACGGCCCAGACUACUGCGGGAGGCAGGAGUGGGGAAUAUUGCGCAAUGGGCGGAAGCCUGAUGCAGCGCCGGCGCGUGAGGGAUGGAGGGCGUGGGGUUGUGAACCUCUUUCGCUAAUGGUCAAGCCGCAACAAUGGUUGUGGUGAGGGUAGUGGGUAAAGAAGCGCCGGCUAACUACGUG
This 483-nucleotide ribosomal RNA is filed under the name uncultured bacterium. RNAcentral's name for it is "partial 16S ribosomal RNA". It matches the Rfam family "Bacterial small subunit ribosomal RNA", at positions 28 to 507 of the family's 1533-position model. The record is from RNAcentral.